CUGGCUCAGGAUGAACGCUAGCUACAGGCUUAACACAUGCAAGUCGAGGGCAGCACGGGAGUUGCUGCAACUUCUGGUGGCGACCGGCGAAUGGGCGAGUAACGCGUAUCCAACCUGCCCUGUGCCCGGGAAUAGCCCUUGGAAACGAGGAUUAACGCCCGAUGGCGUGCAUUGACCGCAUGGGAUAUGCACUAAAUGGAAAGGCACGGGAUGGGGAUGCGUUCCAUUAGGUUGUUGGCGGGGUAACGGCCCACCAAGCCGUCGAUGGAUAGGGGUUCUGAGAGGAAGGUCCCCCACAUUGGAACUGAGACACGGUCCAAACUCCUACGGGAGGCAGCAGUGAGGAAUAUUGGUCAAUGGGCGGAAGCCUGAACCAGCCAAAGUAGCGUGAGGGAUGACGGCCCUACGGGUUGUAAACCUCUUUUAUGCGGGGAUAAAGUGCGCCACGCGUGGCGUUUUGCAGGUACCGCACGAAUAAGGACCGGCUAAUUCCGUGCCAGCCGCCGC
Molecule: ribosomal RNA, 507 nt
Filed under: uncultured bacterium
Lineage: Bacteria
Description: bacterial SSU rRNA
Rfam family: Bacterial small subunit ribosomal RNA
Source: RNAcentral